UACGUAGGUGGCUAGCGUUGUCCGGAUUUACUGGGCGUAAAGAGCGCGCAGGCGGUCGUUCAAGUCGAGUGUGAAAGCCCCCGGCUCAACUGGGGAGGGUCACUCGAUACUGAUCGACUUGAAGGCGGGAGAGGGAAGCGGAAUUCCCGGUGUAGUGGUGAAAUGCGUAGAUAUCGGGAGGAACACCAGUGGCGAAGGCGACUACCUGGCCUGUUCUUGACGCUGAGGCGCGAAAGCUAGGGGAGCAAACGGG
RNAcentral lists this ribosomal RNA (253 nucleotides) under uncultured bacterium. RNAcentral's name for it is "partial 16S ribosomal RNA". It matches the Rfam family "Bacterial small subunit ribosomal RNA", at positions 524 to 776 of the family's 1533-position model. The record is from RNAcentral.